This is a long non-coding RNA of Pyrus x bretschneideri (Chinese white pear), 1838 nucleotides long. RefSeq lists it as uncharacterized. NCBI's taxonomy places the organism in Eukaryota, Viridiplantae, Streptophyta, Magnoliopsida, Rosales, Rosaceae. The transcript has 5 exons. The record is from RefSeq and is a predicted model, not a curated record.
UUAAAUAAUUGAAAAAACAGGAUUAACUAUUUUCGUUCUUUAAUAAUCCUCACCCAAUUAAAAUAAUAAUUAAAUGAAAUUAAAUAAAAACAAAAUAUUUGAAAUGCCAAAAACACAAAGGAAUGGCGAGCAGAGACAGUACCGCGAGAUUGUGAGCUUCUCAUUCCGGUGGCCGACUCAGGCGACGAAGAUGCAUCGUUCAAACCCUCCUCAUCUUCCUCCUCCUCCCACCACACAGGCCGCGAGUAGCUAAUUAGAUCAAGGCUUCCUUCUCUUUCCUCGAGAUUGCUUUUCAUUGGUAAGUGAGAGAUCUGGUAGUGUUUCUCUUAGCUGCUCACUCUUUGUUCCAUUGCAGUGUGUCCUAUUUCCAAGAGCAAUCACUUUCUAUAUCGCGUGGUGGUUUAUUCACUUUGUGGAUAGCUUCUUCUCUCCAAUCCAUGCUCAACUUGGAAUCAACAUUUUUGGUCCUGGAAUUGUGAACAUGCAUUCGGGUUCAUCACUUCAUCCGUUGUCCUUCAGAGCUAUUCUGAAGAUGAAGUGUUGUGUUUAUGUUCCCACGAACCAUCUUUACAUUGGUGAUGUGUUCCUGGUCAACACCAAGGUUGUUAUCAGACCAAAUUUAUCCGUACAGGAGGGAAUUGGAUGCAAUGUAUCUUCAAAAUUCAAAACAAUUACUUACUGGAAAAAUCGUAAGAAUCUGAAAGAAGUAUGAAAUAUUGAGUUGCUGAUGGUGAAGCUGGCAGUGAUCUGUAGUCCAUGAACUCGGAUAUGUGAUGAUGAGGAUGAGCUGAUGAUGACUAUGCAUCACCGGCUUGAUCGUGCCUCACCAUAGAAUCGAUCUGGGUGUGACUUAAUAUAGACAGAAGAUGCCCUCACUUCAAAAAUUUUGCCUUUUUCCAUUUCGGUCAUCUGUAUUAAUUCUCUUUUGAUUACUGGGAUGAUUAUCAUAGAUGCAUCAUGGCGUGGUCCUGCCUCAUCAUAGAUCUAAAUCAUGCAUAUUUUCCUUCAUAUGUUUGGCACACACUAAUUAACCCAUGUCCUCUUCAAUGUCUCAGGAAAAUCAGGAGAAGGGGAUUAAUUGAUUAGCCUUUCGCUCUCUCCAAAUGGUAAAGGCCAACAGAACAGAGUCAGGCGUCCGGCUGAAUAUGGCCUGACAAAGAAAGACAUGCAAAGGAUUUGCUAAGGCCCGCAAGAAGAUCAUCGUCCAUUGAGUUGGAUAUCUGUUCACCACUGUCACUGACCGCUGGAUCAUGUGGUUGCCGCUGGAGAAGUACUGGUUGAUUAUGAGGACGUGGUCGAGGUUGAGAGUGACGCUGUCAUGAGCGAGGCCGAAUAUGACGGCCUGCAGGGAGAGUAUCAAGAGACAAGGAAAGACGCAAAUGCGCUAGGCCCAGAGGAUCAUGAUCAUGUACUGUUAUUGGGUGUCGUCGUUUCUUCGUGGUCGUAACAAUCACUUCACCCAUAGAAUUCCAAAGUUUUGACUUGGAGGAGGAUGAAGAGGAAUCUUCGUGGGCUGUCGUGGCGGUAUCCACCGUUAUGGCACUGCAGUGGUUCAGAUUAAGACUGAAAAAUAUGACACUGGUUAUGUUUGUGUUGCCGAACCGAUGACACUGAGAUACCUAAACCCAAGAUCCUUCAAUCAACAAAAACAUAAGUUUAUAAUAUAAUAAUGUUUAGUUAGUGACUUGAGAAACUACAUACUUCUGGGUGGGAAGGGCGCACCGAAAGAGAGAGGAAAAGAGGAAAUUAAGAAUGGAGUUUUAACGAAACAUUUUUUGUACUGUUCAUUUUUAAAGAAAAGCCACAAUUUUACUUUUUUUCUAGUACUAUUAAUUACA